Molecule: unclassified non-coding RNA, 315 nt
Filed under: fungal sp.
Lineage: Eukaryota; Fungi
Description: partial internal transcribed spacer region
Source: RNAcentral
AAGUCGUAACAAGGUUUCCGUAGAAGGAUCAUUAACACGUAUCCAAACGUUAAACCCCCCUCGUACGUCCGUUAGAAAAAGCAGCAAUCCCUGGUAAAUCAUCGCCGAACAGUUUUCGAUUCAGGGACGUCUGCAAGGAGCGUGCAUGUUGUGCGAAGCAAGUGGCCUGGCAUCCCCAAGCAGUUAGUGUCUGAAAGUGUCAUUAACUGUGUAAGGAUGACGCAGUCACGAUCGUUGGAGGCCCACACGGCCGACGACCGGGUCACUGGUCGACCAAAAACCGAACAACUGUUAACAAUGGAUAUCUUGGUUCUC